GACGAACGCUGGCGGCGUGCUUAACACAUGCAAGUCGAACGGAAAGGCCCCUUUGGGGGUACUCGAGUGGCGAACGGGUGAGUAACACGUGAGUAACCUGCCCUUGACUUCGGGAUAACUUCAGGAAACUGGGGCUAAUACCGGAUAGGAAUCCUUGCUGCAUGGUGGGGGUUGGAAAGCUUCGGCGGUUUUGGAUGGACUCGCGGCUUAUCAGCUUGUUGAUGGGGUAGUGGCUUACCAAGGCUUUGACGGGUAGCCGGCCUGAGAGGGCGACCGGCCACAUUGGGACUGAGAUACGGCCCAGACUCCUACGGGAGGCAGCAGUGGGGAAUAUUGCACAAUGGGCGGAAGCCUGAUGCAGCAACGCCGCGUGCGGGAUGACGGCCUUCGGGUUGUAAACCGCUUUCAGCAGGGGCGAAGCUUGUGGUGACGGUACCUGCAGAAGAAGCACCGGCUAACUACGU
Molecule: ribosomal RNA, 464 nt
Filed under: uncultured bacterium
Lineage: Bacteria
Description: partial 16S ribosomal RNA
Rfam family: Bacterial small subunit ribosomal RNA
Source: RNAcentral